Molecule: non-coding RNA, 45 nt
Filed under: Schistosoma mattheei
Lineage: Eukaryota; Metazoa; Platyhelminthes; Trematoda; Strigeidida; Schistosomatidae
Source: RNAcentral
UUCCAGUUGACGAGUCUCAAAUAGGACGAAACACGUGUUCUAGAU